Non-coding RNA from Paramuricea clavata, 424 nucleotides. NCBI's taxonomy places the organism in Eukaryota, Metazoa, Cnidaria, Anthozoa, Malacalcyonacea, Plexauridae. The record is from the annotation of a GenBank genome assembly.
CCAAUCAUCCAAUAAAUAGAAAACAUGAUUAGGCGAAGUUCAACUCCCGAUGUUUUGCAAACAUCUCUUAGUAUAUAUCAAUUCAAAAGUCCCCUUGCACAAAAAUAUGCCCCCUUGCCUUCACAUCGUUCCGGCGUCCCUGAUGUUAGCCAUGGCAUUCUGUGGUCAUGGCCUUGAUGGCAACACGAAUGCACGAUCGUUUUUACUUUUUCAUUUUUUGUGCAAAACGCAAAAAAUAUUAAUGAAGUUUACCUCUUUUAACUAUCGAACUAACAAUUUCUAAAAUACAUAAAGUAGGUAUGUUAUUUUUCACUCUAUAAGCUUGAAUUUAAGGUAAUAUUCAACCUUGAACGCUUCACGAAAUGUUCAUUUAACUUUAUAUAUGCUGUUGUUUGGCAGUUUUUGCCACUGAUGGUUUUUGCCG